Molecule: ribosomal RNA, 429 nt
Filed under: Pseudomonadota bacterium
Lineage: Bacteria; Pseudomonadati; Pseudomonadota
Description: Proteobacteria bacterium partial 16S ribosomal RNA
Rfam family: Bacterial small subunit ribosomal RNA
Source: RNAcentral
UGGGGAAUAUUGGACAAUGGGCGAAAGCCUGAUCCAGCCAUGCCGCGUGUGUGAAGAAGGUCUUCGGAUCGUAAAGCACUUUAAGUUGGGAGGAAGGGCAGUAAGCGAAUACCUUGCUGUUUUGACGUUACCGACAGAAUAAGCACCGGCUAACUCUGUGCCAGCAGCCGCGGUAAUACAGAGGGUGCAAGCGUUAAUCGGAAUUACUGGGCGUAAAGCGCGCGUAGGUGGUUCGUUAAGUUGAAUGUGAAAGCCCCGGGCUCAACCUGGGAACUGCAUCCAAAACUGGCGAGCUAGAGUAGGGCAGAGGGUGGUGGAAUUUCCUGUGUAGCGGUGAAAUGCGUAGAUAUAGGAAGGAACACCAGUGGCGAAGGCGACCACCUGGGCUCAUACUGACACUGAGGUGCGAAAGCGUGGGGAGCAAACAGG